ACUUAGUGGCAGACGGGUGAGUAACAUGUGGGUAUCUACCCUUUGGCCUGGAAUAACACGAGGAAACUUGUGCUAAUACCGGAUAAGUCUUUACGGAGAAAGCUUUAUGCACCAUUGGAUGAGCCCGCACUUGAUUAGUUUGUUGGUAGGGUAAUGGCCUACCAAGACUAUGAUCAAUAGCUGAUUUGAGAGGAUGAUCAGCCACAUUGGGACUGAGACACGGCCCAAACUCCUACGGGAGGCAGCAGUGGGGAAUCUUGCACAAUGGAGGAAACUCUGAUGCAGCGAUGCCGCGUGAGUGAAGAAGGCCCUUGGGUUGUAAAGCUCUUUCGUCGGGGAAGAAAAUGACUGUACCCGAAUAAGAAGGUCCGGCUAACUUCGUGCCAGCAGCCGCGGUAAUACGAAGGGACCUAGCGUAGUUCGGAAUUACUGGGCUUAAAGAGUUCGUAGGUGGUUGAAAAAGUUGGUGGUGAAAUCCCAGAGCUUAACUCUGGAACUGCCAUCAAAACUUUUCAGCU
Molecule: ribosomal RNA, 518 nt
Filed under: uncultured Pelagibacterales bacterium
Lineage: Bacteria; Pseudomonadati; Pseudomonadota; Alphaproteobacteria; Candidatus Pelagibacterales
Description: bacterial SSU rRNA
Rfam family: Bacterial small subunit ribosomal RNA
Source: RNAcentral